GACGAACGCUGGCGGCGUGCCUAACACAUGCAAGUCGAACGGAACUGUUUUGAAAGAUUUCUUCGGAAUGAAUUUGAUUUAGUUUAGUGGCGGACGGGUGAGUAACGCGUGAGUAACCUGCCUUCAAGAGGGGGAUAACAUUCUGAAAAGAAUGCUAAUACCGCAUGACAUAUCGGAACCACAUGAUUUUGAUAUCAAAGAUUUUAUCGCUUGAAGAUGGACUCGCGUCCGAUUAGUUAGUUGGUGAGGUAACGGCUCACCAAGACCGCGAUCGGUAGCCGGACUGAGAGGUUGAACGGCCACAUUGGGACUGAGACACGGCCCAGACUCCUACGGGAGGCAGCAGUGGGGGAUAUUGCGCAAUGGGGGCAACCCUGACGCAGCAACGCCGCGUGAAGGAUGAAGGUUUUCGGAUUGUAAACUUCUUUUAUUAAGGACGAAACUUGACGGU
RNAcentral lists this ribosomal RNA (451 nucleotides) under uncultured bacterium. Its description in RNAcentral is "bacterial SSU rRNA". It matches the Rfam family "Bacterial small subunit ribosomal RNA", at positions 28 to 476 of the family's 1533-position model. The record is from RNAcentral.